RNAcentral lists this ribosomal RNA (468 nucleotides) under uncultured bacterium. Its description in RNAcentral is "partial 16S ribosomal RNA". It matches the Rfam family "Bacterial small subunit ribosomal RNA", at positions 28 to 507 of the family's 1533-position model. The record is from RNAcentral.
GACGAACGCUGGCGGCGUGCUUAACACAUGCGAGUCGAACGGAAAGGCACUGCUUUUGUGGGGUGCUCGAGUGGCGAACGGGUGAGUAACAGGUGAGUAACCUGCCCUUGACUUUGGGAUAACUUCAGGAAACUGGGGCUAAUCCCGGAUAGGAGCUCAUGCUGCAUGGUGGGGGGGGGAAAGUUUCGGCGGUGGGGGAUGGAUUCGCGGCUUAUCAGCUUGUUGGUGGGGUGGUGGCUUACCAAGGCUUUGACCGGUAGCCGGCCUGGGAGGGUGACCAGCCACAUUGGGACUGAGAUACGGCCCAGACUCCUACGGGAGGCAGCAGUGGGGAAUAUUGCACAAUGGGCGGAAGCCUGAUGCAGCAACGCCGCGUGCGUGAUGACGGCCUGCGGGUUGUAAACCGCUUUCGCCUGUGACGAAGCGGGAGUGACGGUAAUGGGUAAAGAAGCACCGGCUAACUACGUG